This 430-nucleotide unclassified non-coding RNA is filed under the name Hevea brasiliensis (rubber tree). Lineage: Eukaryota; Viridiplantae; Streptophyta; Magnoliopsida; Malpighiales; Euphorbiaceae. The record is from RNAcentral.
UAGUUUGUGGGUAAUAGAUGCCUUGGAGAGUUGCACUCUAGUGUAGGGUGAUGCACUUGAUAGGGUCUGGAAAAUACAAUAGAAAGCAUCCAGAAUUUGUCAAGGAAAUAAGGCUUAACACUUUUUUAUACUGGUUGGAGACUAAUGAAUAAGGCUUGAUUGAGUAGUCUGUUUCACAGUAUUGUUGAAUUCAUGUAGGAGAUCAGGAUAGUAACACCUCUUGAUUAGUUGACAAUAAAACUUGUAACUUUUUUACUUUGGUUAUUAAUCAAAUUUAACAAUCAGUUUACCAUUUAAAAUCUUUAAAAUAAACCCCUUUUUUUUUAUUUCUCCAUCUUUUCAAAAUUGCUGAAUAUAGUGAUCAAAUGUCUGAACUUUAUAUUCAUUUUUGUUGGACUCUGUAUUACAGUGCCCAAAUGGACACACUUUA